UUUAACUGAGCGUUCAGUUACUUGACGUAGACCCGAAACCGGGCGACCUACCCAUGAGCAGGAUGAAGCGAAAGUAAAAUUUCGUGGAGGUCCGAACCCACGAGCGUUGAAAAGCUCGGGGAUGACUUGUGGGUAGCGGUGAAAUUCCAAUCGAGCCCGGAGAUAGCUGGUUCUCCCCGAAAUAGCUUUAGGGCUAGCCUCAAGGUGAGAGAUACGGAGGUAGAGCACUGAAUGUCCUAGGGGGUAUUGCACCUACCGAAGACUAUCAAACUCCGAAUGCCGUCAUCUUAUACUUGGGAGUCAGACUGUGGGUGAUAAGAUUCAUAGUCGAAAGGGCAACAGCCCAGAUCGUCAGCUAAGGUCCCUAAAUGUAAGUUAAGUGGUAAAGGAUGUGGGAUUGCACAGACAACCAGGAUGUUGGCUUAGAAGCAGCCACUCAUUCAAAGAGUGCGUAAUAGCUCACUGGUCGAGUGAUCCUGCGCCGAAGAUUUCCGGGGCUAAAACUUACUACCGAAGCUA
RNAcentral lists this ribosomal RNA (519 nucleotides) under Clostridioides difficile. Its description in RNAcentral is "partial 23S ribosomal RNA". It matches the Rfam family "Bacterial large subunit ribosomal RNA", at positions 683 to 1202 of the family's 2925-position model. Lineage: Bacteria; Bacillati; Bacillota; Clostridia; Peptostreptococcales; Peptostreptococcaceae. The record is from RNAcentral.